This 401-nucleotide ribosomal RNA is filed under the name uncultured bacterium. RNAcentral's name for it is "bacterial SSU rRNA". It matches the Rfam family "Bacterial small subunit ribosomal RNA", at positions 362 to 758 of the family's 1533-position model. The record is from RNAcentral.
UUUUGGACAAUGGGCGCAAGCCUGAUCCAGCCAUGCCGCGUGUAUGAAGAAGGCCUUCGGGUUGUAAAGUACUUUUGUCAGGGAAGAAAAGCCUGAGGAUAACACCCUCAGGUCAUGACGGUACCUGAAGAAUAAGCACCGGCUAACUACGUGCCAGCAGCCGCGGUAAUACGUAGGGUGCGAGCGUUAAUCGGAAUUACUGGGCGUAAAGCGAGCGCAGACGGUUAUUUAAGCAAGAUGUGAAAGCCCCGGGCUCAACCUGGGAACUGCGUUUUGAACUGGGUAACUAGAGUGUGUCAGAGGGGGGUAGAAUUCCACGUGUAGCAGUGAAAUGCGUAGAGAUGUGGAGGAAUACCGAUGGCGAAGGCAGCCCCUGGGAUAACACUGACGUCAGCUCGAAA